AUGACACGUCUCCCACGCUUUUCUUCAACACCGACGCAAGAACCUCCUCCCCGAAUUCGCCUUCCGACUCCGGGCGGUCGUCUCGCAUCGCCACCGCGAGGCGGAAUUCCCCGGUCGCCGUCGCCGGCGGCCGCCAAAUGGCUGAAACCCAGUUCGUGGAAGCCGUUUCUGGGCUCGCUCGUGCUCUGCUUCGAAGUCUCUGCGUAAAACAGAGUGCAAAUGAAGCUACAUUGGCCAUGUUAGCCAUAACCCUGGAGAUUUUGGUGACAGACGGGAGUUUUAUUAGCUGGUAUUCUGAGAUCCACAAGGAUGGUAUACCUUCUCUAUAAUGGGAUAACAGAGACAUGUUCUUCGCUAAUAUACAUGACUCUCUAUGACCCACAUUUCCAUUUUUCCUACCAGCCCCUUCAUUUUCAUGUUGGAACAUAUCUCAGUUCAGUUCAAAGACCAAGAGGCAUAUGUGUCCGCAAACCGGCACCACAUUUUGAAUUGAGGACAGACAGUGAUGAUUUUAUUAGCAUUGGGACAGUUCUAACCAGAGGUCUGGAUUUGAUGAUUGGAUACUGAGGUCAAUUUCUGGCAUCAGGCUCUAGCAGUCAUUCAUGGAUUGACACGGGUGAUGUCGGUUUCAUUGAUGAGCAUGUUCGGUUGUGGCUCAUUGGUCAAGAGAGCAGUCGGAUCAAGACUAGAGGAGCAAAUGUUCACCCUGAAGAGGUACUGGACUGUAUCAUGCAUGAAUUGGCUUACCAAUAAAAUCGUUCUUAUCUCUGAGUAGCUUUAGAUUUGUUGAUAGGUCUAAAUGUGAUGCAUAUUUUUCUGUCUUCAAUACCUGUUUCAAUUUCUCAAAAUGAUGGUCAGCUAAAAUGAUAAGAUGUAGCCUCAGCUUAUUUUCGUGGGAAUGUUCUUGUUUCAUAACAAGGGCGGAGGCAAUAUUUUUA
Eucalyptus grandis is the source of this 938-nucleotide long non-coding RNA. RefSeq lists it as uncharacterized. The record is from RefSeq and is a predicted model, not a curated record. Lineage: Eukaryota; Viridiplantae; Streptophyta; Magnoliopsida; Myrtales; Myrtaceae. The transcript is spliced from 3 exons.